Long non-coding RNA from Myodes glareolus (Bank vole), 1058 nucleotides. RefSeq lists it as uncharacterized. Lineage: Eukaryota; Metazoa; Chordata; Mammalia; Rodentia; Cricetidae. The record is from RefSeq and is a predicted model, not a curated record.
AAUAGCUGGGCAGGUAGAGGUUAGGAGAACUUAUAGACAAAGGAGAGCUUGAAGAAGACAGAAUUCUGAGAACGGUGAGGGGAUGUGGAGAGGAGAAGGACUUGACAGACUGAGAAAAGGUUCUUAUCUUCCUGUCUUGGAUGUGAUCCACCGUUUAAUUAAAGCUGCCCCUUGAGCAUGGAUGUGAAGUCAUUUACGGAACAUAGCUGGCUAACCAGUGGCUACCCCACUGAAGAAGGUGUUGCUCCUUCCCCCAGUCAGCGCUGAACGUCAGUCAUGGUGUGAAGCUCAUCUGACCAUUUAGAUCUCCCCCAUUCUCAGUGAGCUGUUGUGGGACCCAGUUUCAUGUAGGUCGUGUGUAGAUAUCAUGGCUGCAAUGCUGUAUGUUUAACAAACAAAAGAAAAGUAUUCUGAGCAAAUAAUCUGUAUUAUUUUUAACCACCUCACAGACUAGGCAUGAUCAGGGUGAUAUUACCAAACAAUGGGAUAACUUCAAAACAGAUUUCAAAAAUUUAAGGAAAUCCCCAAAUAAGUUUUUCCUUUUUCUGAACUGUGUUUAAAUGCCCUCAAGUUGUUGGAUAUUUUCUCAACAGAUUUUCCUGUCAUCAGACAUUGAGAAUGUCUCAUGCAACCCUUUGGGUGAAGUGGAAUUUUUACCUCUCAAUUCAUUUACAGAAUGGAGCACGUUUCAGAGGAAUUACGAUAUGGAAUCAGUGUAUAUUCAGGAACGGUCUGGUGCGUGACCCUGGAUAACUUCUACCUGCCAAACCCUUGGAAAAAUGAAGAACAAAGCCCUUAGCUCAGCACACAAGGCCCUCUUCCAACAGGGCACCAUCUGCCAUGUGAACCCCCUCUGCGGCCUAUGCCCACACCCAUUUUUUUUUCUAUUUAGCAAUAACCCUGACUAUUUUCAGAAUCUAUAUCCUGUCACCCUCUGGGAACCCCACGAGGGUCCUUGAAGGCUGGUCAGAAUGCACUCCCGUGGUAACAAGAGUGGGACACCGAUUGGGAACUCACUGCUUGUUUUAAUAAACAUCACAUUGCUCUUUCUACUGUAA